CAACCAGUCGGCCGCGAUUCUUGGAGACCUGCUCAACCCUCCUCUGACCUUCCCAUCUUCUGAUCCUCGUCUCUCAACGACCUCGGGGUUGGAGAUGGGCCUUACGCUCUCCUGCUUUUCCGCCAUCGGCAAGGUCUCUCCCAGUAAGACGGAGGGGGGGGAGAAACGGGUUGCGGAGACUUUGAAGCGGAAGAAGGAGAAGAAGCCCAGAGAGACCGCCGCUCUGGUGGUGCCGAACUUCCCUCAUCACUGUCGUCCGGGCCUUCUCUGACUCCCCAAGCUCCCUCUCUCUCGUUCCUCUCCGCCACUUGGAGAGGACGAACCCACGGCCGAUGCUCUGCGUCGUCCCCGUUCAUCCUGCAUCAUUUCGUCUCGCCGCCGGAGGAGCCUGGGAGAGUGCAUGUAGCUGGCUACGGGCUCCUCUACCACACGGAAGUAGGGAAUGAAGUUGCAGCUUCCGUGGUCUUCUGUCAUACAAUUUUGGAAACUCGUGUACAAUAAAUAAAUAAAAAAUUAUUCGGUGCAAGCCUACAAGCCUAUUCCAUUCUUAUUCAAUUCGAGCCAACACAGAGGACGUGCUAGAGUGAUUUUUCAUGAACUAAAAGAGACUAAAUCUGGAAUCAUCUGCAGCUUUAGUAGCAUGUUAAACUUACAUACUCAUAAAAAUCGAAACCCAUUUGUAUGAAGCAGACACACAGCAUAAAUUUAAGGAACUUAGCCCAAAAGAAUUAACGGUAUAUCAUGCAAGUAAUUCAAGAAGAAGUAUAGUACAAAGUUUAUUCGACUAUUUAGUCGGAUAUAUAUAAUAAAUCUACUAUCAAGUUGACUUCAGUCCUCAUUGAUGUAAUAUAUUAUCCUUGUCUGACUAGUAGCCGCCAUGGAAGCAGAACCCACCUUCCGUAGUCACUUGUCUCACCUGCCAUCUCGGAACAUUGAAUACUGAUACGGGCAAAAAAAUCUGCCCUUACAAGCUGAUGCACUGCUGUUCGAUCCUUCAUGGAGGCUAGUUCAUAUAGUCUGACAUCAUUAUGAAGGAUAAUUCUCUGCCCAGCAGAUUAAAGAUUAAGCGACGCUGAGACACUGGAUUUCUGAUGGUCUCUGUCAACGAUAGGUUGACCAAAAAGUUAAACUAUCAGCGGGGGUCCACUAAUGAUCAGAUCGUGCUAGAUAAUGCCCCAUGAAAGAGCAAAGCAGACUUAGCCAUAAUGACUAGCAUGGUCUUCCGUAGGAUCCCAUUGAUCAUAGUGUAUUCACUUGCUCUCUCGAUAAUUUUGUCUGCAAACGUAUACUAGAAUUAUACACAGGUGAGAAGUAUUAUACACUAUUCUCUUUAUCUCUAUUCGAGGUGGCAGAUAUUCAAUUUUGUACUGCCGCGCAUUCUACACCGGAAAAAUAAUCCGAAGAUAAAUGAAAUAUCUGCAGUAAGUGAUAGGCAGCCUUCUCUGCUGGAUUUAUAUAUAUAUACAAACAUAUACAUAAAGAGAAAAAACUGACUGCAUGUUUCACCAGGAAUUUCGGGAAAAUUUCACAAAAAUAUCACAUUUUUUUUUGAAAGUGAACGGUUUCAUAAAAAUUCCAAUUGUUUUGUGAGUUUCCUUUGUCAGACCUGCUACAACUUCAGUUGCCGUACAGAUGCUUACAAUGAAGAAAGCAAACUCUCCACUGCCUUUCACAAGGUUCCCAGAUAAAAUCCGGGUAAUCUAGGAAAGACCAAUUAAAAAGUGUGAUGUAAGGAUUGUUGUUUUUUAUCAAGAUGUACAGCUGCGAAAGAAAAAUAAGAUCAGAAAAAAAUGGAGUGUAUAUAGCAGACAAAAGCAAUGUUUAAAGAUUAUCUGAUAAUUAUAGAAGAUCAUCGCUAUAUGCAUGUUUCUGUAAAUGGUUAAAACAAUACGGGUAGUAGAACAUAAUCCAACGAAAUAACUUUUCUGUAAUUACUGCAAUAUGAAACAAAGUAGUUCAUAAGAAUCUGUUUCAUGAUCCCUGCAGUGAAGCAAAAGGCAAGUUAACCUAUUGCGGAAUAAGUGAGAAUACUAUCCAGCUGUCAUCAGCUAGGAAUUCGAGACAAAUAAGGAGCAAGAAGUAACAAAAAUCUAACAAUAAGAUGGAUAGAACAAUAGUUGAGACCAUUAGGAAAAAAUAUCCUGGUGUCAAGGUUGUCCAUUCGUACGAUUAAGGAAAAGACUCUACCAGUGGACUCUUAAAUAUGAUGAAUAUAUGAUGUAAAUUUACCUAGAAGCCUAGCAAGCAUAUGCAAGACCAUAUGAAGGAGGAUAAAAAUCUUUUCUUGCCUGUUUAUUCAUGAUAGAACAUCAAAGAAUAUUUCCCAUCUAAAACCUAAAAUCUAAAUAAUUUCUUGUCACAAAAAAUGCAAGAACUCUUGGACAGCGGCUGGAGAAUCCCCUGACCAAUUCAGGGAGGCACUUUGAUCAAGGAAAGUGAAAUUUACAACCAAUAAAUUUGUCACCGAUCGCCCGCCAGCAUAACCUAAAGGCAUGCCAUUUUCAGGUAAACACUAUCUGGGCACUGUUUCAGCACAUGACCCAAAGACAUGAAAGACUUAAGUAAGAAUCCUAGCUCUCGCUAUCAACUCCAGCAAAAGUUGGGAAAAGAGAAGACACACUUGAAACUAACUAUAUGAACCUAAAAUUUAGAAACAUGUAUAGAACAUUGCAGAUUAUGGAUCCGACCAUACCCAAAAAAAAUCAGCCAUGAUGAUAAUAACAUCCCAUUCUGGAAAAUUAUCUGAAAAAACACCUAUAUAAAAGGGGCCGAAAUUUAGCAUUGAUGCUGUAUUGCUUCUGAAAAAAAUUAUACACAGGAUUAACUCAAAGGCAUUCCAACAAUCAACUUCAUCUCUGAAUGUGGAUUUAAUGAGGACCUGCGUCGAGUCAUGAUUGAUUACAUUAAUUGUGCGGAAAAUUUUGGCAGAAUAUCAAGCGACAUGAGUGCAUAGAAAAACAAUAAGAGCGACCACAGUAUUUCGUGUUUAGUUAUAAUUUCAGGAACCAGCAAGCCGUACCAUCAGCCAUUCCUAUCACGAAGCACUUGCGCAUCAAAUGAGAAGCUGAAUGAAUGCGCAUUGCUCGAGCUUGCUGUUUCACUUGGGUCAAACGCACACUUUUAGGUUCAGCUGAAUGCAGUUGAGAAGCUUCCUCUAAUGGUUGAGCCUUGGACAUAACUAAUUUCAGAAUGCAUAAAAGAAAUGAGACCUACAAAUGAACAGACCACUGAUGGAGCUAUAACAGUGGCCAGGACAUAUAAUAUACCUUCGCCCGGGAACACAGGGAGAUCGCCAUCUGCUGGUCGACUGAUCAUCGUAAGAGAUCCAAAAGAGCUGGGCGAAAGCAUGCCCUGCAAACUCUCGUCAGUUUCAGUUGUCUCAGAGUCGUCAGAUUGGGCGUCCACUCUAACGACGGUAGGACCUCUGACGACGAGACUCAAGUCGGAGGGUGGGUCGUCCGCCAUGUCGCACCUUCCUUUCCUUGCUUCCACCUUCCACCUCCACUGGUGCUGCCGACUGCCAUGUUCUCUUACUUGUGCGCCGCCGUCCAGCUGCCAUCUUGGUUGUUCAUAUCUGAACUUCUGCUGCGCAUCGUGGAGAUCGAUGAGUCCGCUGGUCGUCUGGGCGUUCAACCCGGAAAUCCCCUGCUGCCCCCCUCGUUCAUUCUCCUCCAGGGUUCUCUGACCAUUUGCCCGGGAGCUUUCUCCUCCUUCCAUGGCCAACAUUGGAAGAUCGUACACGGCUCUGACCGUUUCCUCAGCGCUCGCCCUCAACCUCCUCAGCCUGUACCUCAACCUCCGCCGCUCAUUCUGACAGGCGAUCUCUUCUUCAGUCAUCUGUGCCCUCCGCCGCCGGUACCACAGCCGCUGCUGCUCCCUCCUCUCCUUCCCCUCAUCCUCCGACAUCUGAGCCCACUUUCGUCGCUGAUGCAUGGGCUGCUGCUGCUGCUGCUGUUCGGCGGACACCAUCUCCACCCCGCCCAUCUGUUGCACAUUACGCAUGCACAAACAAACCCAUCCACUGACUACAUCAGAGAGCGCCGACGCCGAGAAGAAGACGGCAACCCAUCGGUCGACUUCGUACAAAGCAAUGAAAUCUCGCUCUCCUUUUCCAGAAUCUGCGAUGAGGUCAAGGCCGAUGUCACAGUAAAGAUCUCCAACAGGAAGAAACAAUUAUCAAGAAACAGUCCCAAAAACGCGUCGGAAGCGCGCUAAUGGCGUUGAAAGGCCGUACCUCGAGGGUUGAAAGGCCACUAAUGGCGUCGCCCUUCCCUCACGUCACCCGGCCCGGUUUACUCCCGCCUCCACCAUUCCAAGAAGCAACUCAAGAACCAGUGGCGGGCCGCCUCAAACGCCGUCUGCAGCGCCAACCACCCGCUCUGUAAAUCUGGGCCUUGGAGGCUCUCUCAGAGGAGGGGGGGGGGGAGGGGAAGAGGGGCCCUCGAGCUCACCCACUAGCUGUCACAUCACCCAACGGAACAAUGAAACGCCUGCCUCUGCUUCGCCGGGCAACGAACGGAACAAUCAGGAUCGCGUGAUCGGUGGACCCCAAUGCGUGUCUCAAAAGGAAUGUCAGAUUCCGUGUUCUGGUUAUUAAGGAUGCGGUCUGCACCGCGUGAUCGGCGGGCCCGCCCUGCGAGAGCAGACGCGGGACUUGAGUAGGGUUGGUUGGCCCUAGGAGAGAGGCGGCGUGCCCGAGGAAGACAACACGUGAUCGAGCUCAGAUGCGUGCCCGUUCCUUCCUAGGCAUGUGGCACGUGCCGAAAAUUUUUGGCCUCCCACGUGAGCUAGAAAUUUGCCCGCCUAAGCAAGAAACUAAUUUAAAAUUGGUGUUUCCGGGGUAGACCCCACUCAACUUGAAUUUAAUAAAAUGUACUCACAGUAACUAUUGAUGUUUUCGUAUAGUUUCCAAUAAAUUAUAUCAUAUUUACUCACGUGACCUUGAGCACGUAGUAAUAAGAUUUAAUGUGGGGGAGCUCCAUCACUUGCAUGGGUUAAUGUGGGCGCAUGUGUGUGCAUGUGUACAUGUGCUGACACAUUGUAAGGUAUUCCCAUGUUGUGACAUGCACAUGAUGGAAGUAGCUAGAACAUGCAUCACUACUAGGUGGAACCACUAGAGUAGAGUGAAAUUUAUGGGUAUUUGUCCAUAAAUCAUAGAGGCCAAUUGUAUGACACUACAUGGCAGUCAUAAACUCUAGCAUAGAUUGUAUGGUGUGGCACAUAUAAUUCAUGCACAAAUAUGUCUAGUUUAGCAUACAAAUAUGACCUCCAAACAAGUUCAUGUGAAGAGGCAACCUGCAUAGAUGUAUGCAAGGUUGAUACAAGGAGAAGUUUACAUAGUUGUCUAAGUCAAACUCAGAAUGACCAACAAUCAUAGAUGUGUAUGUCGAUCUCAUCAUACAUAGUGGUUAUAUCUUCACCGUAAAAAUAUGACAUACUACUAUAUGAUUUGCAUAUGUGCAGAUUGACUAAUCAUCAUUAGUAUAUAAAUAGUCAUAUUAAAAGCAAGAAUGAAAAACUAGGUAUAUUUAUUAAAUCAUUGUGAAAAUUGGUAUCAAAGUCUAAGGCAUUGAUGUCAAAUAAAUUUGAGACCCAAGGACAAGGAAUUACUUCCCUAAAGGACCAAUGGUUCAAGUUCUAAGUCCUCACCUCCUUGAGUAAGACCAAUAAGAGAUGAUCAUUUAUUUACUAAAAAAGUGAUGCAAGUAGGAGUGCAUAAAAUGAUCAUAUACUCAAGUAGAUAGUAGGUAGAUGCUACUAUCACUAAAAAGUGAAAAGGAGUACAUUGAAUCACUUGCAAUAUACAUGUUGCUGCUAAAGUGAGUUGGAUAUGAGUGUGUGAUAAUAGUCUUGAUACUAAAAAACAUGAGUGGAAAUGUAAAAUGAUACUCUUAUACUAAAAAAAUGUAAUGAUAUAUUAAAAAAACUUGAUUGAGCAUUUUCCUAAUCUUUAGAAUAGUCCGAAAUGAUUUUAGGAGUUAUUGUAUAACUAGAGAGUCUCCUAAUUAAAAAUAGAGCCAAUACACCUUGUUAGAUGAGUUUUACACACAAUUAGAAAGGUACUCUAGAAGGUUAAUUUCAUAUCUCAAUACCUUUCUUAUCAGGUGAAAGACAUUACAAAAGAAUAAGCAUCAACAUUGAGAAAAUGUACUCCAUAGUAAAGUUAUAAAGGCACAUUACAAAAAUAUGCAAACAAUCUCAUGACUCUUGAAAAUACUUGAUUGUUUUAAUAAUACUGUAUUAUGAACUACAAAAGUUUUUUGAAGUAUUUUUUUAAAAAAUUGAGAAAAAAUGAGAUCCAAUCGUGAAGGAAUAAAUAAUAAGGAAUAGAUAAUUUUAAAAAGUGAGAAAUAUUUAAAAUUAAGGUCCUAUUAUCAAUUUAAAAUUUUUGCGUGGAGAUAAGGUAAGAAAACCCCUAGUUUUACCCCUUUCCGCGACCGACUCGAAGCUUGGCUGAGUCUAUACUGCUAGUAUUGGGCCAAAUUAUUGGGCUCCAUAAAAAUGGGCUGGACCUGCAACACGGAAAUCGGACGGAUGCGCUUCUCUUGUCAGACCACAGAGGUGUGCUUACGUGGCACAACCCUCAUCACACGAUCUGUGGACUUCAUGAGCUGUAGACAGGGGGCCCACCUUCCCAGACAGCCACAGAAGACGAUGGCACUGAGGAAGCUCAGCACCGAUAUCGGCCUCUGGUUUUCAAGGGUGCGGAGGGUUCCCGGAAGAUCGAAGCGGCGAAGAAGAUCGAUUCUCGAGGAGAAGAAGGGGCCCUACUAGCGCAGGCGAAGUCCAGAGAUCGCUUGCUUUCAUCAGAGGGAGGAUUCUGCUGCUCCGGGAGCAAGGAGCGAGCUAUGGCAACGGCUCUCUUUGGCGGCUGCUCCUUCGCCUUGAGGAUUGAUUCAAGCAGACCUCGGCGUGUACAUGCGAGGAGUAGCGCGGAAAUGGGGAAGAAUGCGGGGUCUAAAGACGAGGGGCCUGAGACUUGUGGAGAUUUCCUGACGAGGAGGGGAGCUCUGGUUUCCGGGCUGUCUUUGAUUUCUUCCGCGGCGUUGGGUUUUCCCGGGGAAGGGUUGGCUGUCAAGCAGGGUCUUCUAGCAGGAAGGAUCCCGGGCUUGUCCGAACCGGAUGAGAAUGGUUCGUCCCUUCCUUUUCCCCUGUUCUAUGCGCAUACUUCAUGAGCACUGCCCAGCUUGCAGAGAAUACGGCGAUUCCAGAGUUCUACCAAAGGAAACCAAUAAAAUUCAUGUCCAACGCUGAAAUUUAUUAUUAAUCUAAUAAAUUUACAAAAAAAAUGUAUUUAGUUAUUUAUUUUUACAUUCAGAUACACAUUUAUAUGUCAACGCGGUUUUUUCUCAGCAAUAAAUCUCAAAUGAUACUUAAACAUUUGGGGUGUUAGUAGGCUUCAUGUAGAUUAUUUCAGUGCUAUCAAAGUCUUAAUUCUUUUUAGCUCAGAGUAAUACAAUCUCUACAGUAGAAACAAUUAGAACACCAAGAUCAUUUCUCUGACUUCCUGGGGAAAAAAGAUCCAAAAUCUUUUAAGUGCAUUCGAUCAGGUUGUGUUUAUCAUAAAAUAUUUACGUGUGCAUGUAUACUAUAUACUCUAUUUAUAUGUUGCUCAGACAGGUUGGAGGACGUACCGUAGACCAGAUGAGAAGUCCGGAGGACAUGGAGUUGGCUGGAGUCCAAUCAUUCCGUACUCAUUUGCAGUCCCCGACGGGUGGGAAGAGGUAGAUUUCACCAAGAACACAAAUAUUAUGUUCAUUAAACGAUCGUCUUGACCAACUUAUAAGCAGUAAAUAUGCUCUUGCAUUAUCCCAUUGUUCCUGCACAUCUGAUCGACGUAGAUCGGUUCUGUUAGGUUCCUGUAUCAAUUGCAGACCUCGGUGGCACUGAGAUUGAUCUGAGAUUCGCAAACUCCAAAGAAGGGCGCUUGUUUAUUAUCGUAGCUCCUGUUCUCCGAUUUUCAGGUGAGAAAUCUUGCUCCCCAUUUGCGUCCUAUCUUCCCUGUUUUUCAAACAAAUAUAUGCAUGGGCUCUCUAUUUGCAUUCUUUCAACGCUCUUCCAAGCUUUCAAUGGCAUCCUCCAUUGGAUUGGCUGGCAUAAUUACCCUUGCAUAAUGCCAAAAAUGUCUCUCAAAAACGAAGGAAAAUAGCAUACCAGGCAUAGCUCCUGUUGGGGCAUGAGAAACGGGAGGCACCAACCGAGUUGCUAGAGUUUCUGUAAACCCACUAAGAUUUUUCUUGGGAACUUGGGGCCAUUUCGGGGCCUUCCUGGUUGCAGAAGCAGAAGAUUCCAGUCAUAGUGAGUAACCGAUCUCCUUGUUCUGGACGCAAUGCCAAGGAAGAAGAACGUGUACUGUUCUUCCUCUGUCUCUGAUCUCCUUCGGGGACUGCCUGAUGAAUUGAGAUUUACACACCGCUCCUGUUUUGGUGAUGCUUCUGGUUCAGAUGUCCUCGGAGACGAUGCCACAAUAGAGAAGAUUGGGCCGCCGGAGAAGGUGAUCAACGCCUUCGGCCCAGAGGUCAUCGGAGAAAACGUGGAAGGCAAGGUUUUAAGCAUGCAAGUCGCCGAACAUAUGGGGAGGACAUACUACCAGUUCGAACUGGAGCCGCCCCACGUGCUGAUUACAGCCACUGCAGCAGGAAACCGGCUCUACCUGUUCAAUGUGACGGCCAACGGUGAGAUUUGCUGUUCUUCGCUGUUCUUCAACUGGUCUUUCCAUGAUGAACUCAGAGGCUUACACCUUCACAUCCCGGCAAUGGUUCUUUCAGGUCUUCAGUGGAAGAAGCAUUACAAAGACUUGAAAAGGAUCUCGGAUUCCUUCCGAGUCGUCUGAAACUGCAGGUGAGUCUUCCGGGUACUUGAAAAAAAUUUUAGAUCAUUCAUGUACAGACCUUCAGUGCGACAGAGUUGAAUGAUUCAAAGUCGAGAGAUUGUGCCAGAAGUCAACCUGUCAUCUGCCGCCCCCACGCUGACUAAACUGCACCCGGGAAUCUUCUGAACUCCAGAGUCAACCAUCUGUCUCCUCAUGUUCUCUGCUUCCUCCCAUCUACUUGAGGCGGCGUAGAUGUUCGAUAGCAGCACAAACCUGGCAUCAUCUCUUGAUUCCACUUCCCUCACCACCUGCUCUGCCAAUUCUGCUUCGCCAUGGAUCCGACAGGCGCCGAGCAGGGCCCCCCAGACCACGUCAUUUGGCUCCAUGGGCAUCAUUCUGAUCAACCCAUAAGCUUCCUUCAGUUUCCCAGCCCGGCCAAGAAGGUCUAUCAGGCAUCCGUAGUGCUCGACCCCGGCUUCCAGCCCAUACCUCGUCUUCAUCCUCGAGAAAAGCUCCAACCCUUCCUGGACGAAUCCGCCAUGGGUGCAUGCAGAGAGAGCCGCGAGAAAUGUGACAGCGCAGGGCUCUUCUCCCGACUCCUCCAUCCGGGAGAAGAGCUCAAGCGCCUCCUUGCUCCGGCCAUGGCUGGCCAGGCCUGAGAUCAUCGUGUUCCAGCACGCUCUGUUCCUCCGGGCCAUCCCUUUGAAGAUCCUCUCGGCUCUCCCCAGAUCCCCACACUUGGCGUACAUGUCGACGAGCCCAUUGAGGACGAACUGGUUCAGUCUGAUCCCUGCCCGGUGGAUGAGCCUGUGAAUCUCCUUACCGCUGUCCAGUAAGCCCGCCUGCGCGCAGGCGGAGAGAGCACUCGCCACCGUGACCUCAUCGGGCUCGAACCCCUCCUCCUGCAUCCUUCGGAAGGACCUCAGAGCCUCCUCGAAGAAUCCGUUCUGCGUGUACCCAACGAUUAAAGUAUUCCAAUUCACCAGAUUUCUAGCAGGAAUCUGCUCGAACACCUCUCUGGCCUCUUCCGCCCUCCCUAACUUGAAAUACCCAGUGAUCAUCGAGGACCAGACGAAGAAGUUCCUGCAAGGCAUUUCCUCGAACACCUGCUUCGCAGCCUCCAUCUGGCCGUUGACCGUGUACCCGUGGACCAGCGCGGUCCACGUGACCACGGUCCUCAUCUCGGGCGGGGUCCUGUCGAAGAACUCCCUGGCAGCGGCAAUAUCCCCUUCCCUGGCGAGGCCUUCUAUCAUCACCGUCCAAGUCACCGGCGUUCGAGCAGUCAUUUCGUCGAACAGGAGACGCGCAGAGGCCAUGUCGCCGCCGCCGGAGUGGCCGCUGAUCAUCGCGUUGUAGGUGACCGCGUUCCUGUGAGGCAUUUGGUCGAAGAACCUACGUGCAUCCUGUAUAUCGCCGCAUUUGCUGUACACGGAGAUGAAGGUCGUCCCUACACGGACGUUCGAGGCCAGCCCCGCUUUGACGGAUUCUGCGUGGAAAGCCUUCGCAAGGGUCAGGAGAGAGAGGGCGGCGCAGGCCUUGAUCGCCGCCGGCAGCACCUGACGGCGGGCUCCCCGUGGGAGGCCCCUCGUGAGCAUGAAGAGAGCUUCCUCUGCGAAACCUUCGGAGAGGUAGCCCCGGAGGAGCCGGCACCAGAGGGAGGAGUCCUCGGUGCCCGUGGUCAGAUAGACUGCAUGGUGUCGCCGAAGGAGAGCUCGCCUCUGUGAUUUCGCCAUUCUUCAGAGUUUGAAGAAUGGAGCAGAGGUUGCUCCGGAUGCUGCAGAACUGUGGAAAUCCCAGGGAGUUGAAGCGAACCCACCUCCAGAUCCUGGUCCGGGGCCUCGCCGACGGCGACCUCCUCCUGCCUAAGCUCGUGGAGGUAUCUUCCGCCGCCCACUCGCUCAGCUACGCUGGCCGUGUGGUCCGGUGCACGCAGACGCGGAGCGUGGUGGCGUACAACAACAUGGUUAAGUGCUUCGCCGGUAGCCGAAGCCCCGCCGGAGCCGUCUCGGCCUACGGCCGGAUGAGAGCUCUGGAUGUCUCCCCCAACAGCUUCACCUUCACUUUCCUGCUCAGAGCAAUGGAGUCGGGAGGUUCCUCGCAAGGAGGGGAAGCUGUCCACGCCCAGAUAGUCAGGUCUGGUUGCGGGUCGAGUCUCUUCGUCAAGAACACCCUCUUGGCCUUUUACUCCAAAUGCAGCCGCGACUUAGCUCCCGCGCGUCAAAUGUUCGACGAAAUGCCGCAGAGGGACGUGGUCUCCUGGAACUCCCUGAUUCACGCGUAUAUGAUACGCGGAGAGGUGGCGACUGCGAUGGAGGUGUUCGAAUCAAUGCCCGAGAGGAGCAUCGUCUCGUGGAACUCCAUAAUCACAGGCCUCUCCAAGGCCGGAGAUAUGCGCUCGGCGCAGCUGAUGUUCGACCGGAUGGCCGUGAGGAACGUCGUCUCAGGGAACGUCAUGAUCGCCGGUUACGCGGCGGCCGGCGACAUGGUGGCGGCCCGAUCCAUCUUCGACCGGAUGGAGGAGAAGAAUGUGGUUUCCUGGACGGCCAUGGUCUCCGGCUUCACCAAGAUCGGCCGCAUGGAGUCGGCGAGCUCUCUCUUCCAUCAGAUGCCGACGAAGAACACUGUCUCCUGGAACGCGAUGAUCUCCGGGUACAACGAAAACCAUCGAUUCGAUCGAGCUCUGCAGACAUUCCAGGCCAUGCUGAUCGAUGGCACGUGCCCACCCAAUGAAAUCACUCUGAUCGCCGUCGCCUCGGCUUGUGGGCAUCUGGGUUCUCUCGAGCAUGGGAACUGGGUCUACUCCUACGCCAAGAAGAACGGCUUGGAGAUCACCUCCGAGCUGGGGAACGCGCUCGUGGACAUGUUCGCCAAGUGCGGAGAGAUGAAGUGCGCGGAGGCGGUGUUCUAUCAGAUGACCAGGAGGUGCGUAAUCUCGUGGACGACCAUGAUCUGGGGACUUGGUGCCCACGGCCAGAGCGGAGAGGCUCUGGCUCUGUUCGAGGAGAUGUGCCGCCGUGGAGUAGAACCAGACGACGUCACCUUCAUCGCCCUGCUCUCGGCGUGCGCCCAUGGCGGGCUGGUGGAACAAGGGCAGCGAAUCUUCAGACAGAUGACGACGGAAUUCGGCAUCCAGCCGAGGAUCGAGCACUAUGGCUGCAUGGUUGACCUCCUCGCUCGGGCAGGGCUGGCAGAAGAAGCAAUUCAGUUCAUCGGAAGCAUGCCCGUGGAGCCCAAUGCGGUCGUCUGGGCCACCUUGCUGAGCUCCUGCCGGUGGGAACCGGUGGUGGACUCAGUCGGCAGGAAGAUGGCGGAGCUGGAGCCGCUGGAACCCGGCUACCAGAUUCUCCUUUCCAAUUCCAGUGCGUCUGUUGGAAGAUGGCGGGGCGUGUCGAGCAUCCGAGGAGCCAUGUGGCAGGAGGGGGUGGAGAAAGUCCCCGGGUGCAGCUCCAUCCAAGUGGGCUGCGAGGUUCAUGAGUUCCUGGCCAAGGACUUGAGGCAUGAGAGGAGAAGCGAGAUCUAUGAGGCUUUGCAUGGGCUUGCAGACAUCUCAAGGCACGCAGGCCACCACCCAUUCGAGAUGCCAGAUUAUGCCUUCCAGCACCACCCCAGGUUACCCAAUCCUGAUGGGCAUUUAUGCACGCAUGCUUCAUGAUAUAUGAUUCCACAGGGUGUUAUUUUUUUCAUCUACUUUAUAUAAAUAAGGAAGGCAGAGAUUCUAGUGUCCAACGACAUGGGUUUUAUAAAAUGCUCAUAAACCCCACUUUGCAUUAACUAUGUGGAAUGCUUGAUGAUGAUACAUCUACAUAUGUGGUGGCACUGACCCCUCCCCCUGUCAGUCAUCCUUGUGUUUGAAGAUCUGGCUGCAUCACCAUCAAGCCCGGUCGAAAAGAUCCUCCCGAAAUGGUGAUUUUCAUGCUUAGCGGUGCUCUUCUGAUGCAAAAUCUUCAACCCACUCGGGCCAAGUAAUAACUGCCAUUCUCUGGCUUCAUCCCUUCAGGAAUCCUGAUGCUACAGCAACCGGGGCAACAUGCAGUUUCUUGACCUUCAAUCGAAGAGAUUAAGCAAUUAUGGACGUGUUUCCCAUAUUUGGUAGUGGAGACAGAAUCAGGCAGUCCUUUAAAUAACAUAUCUAAUUUAUGAAGUCAAGUUCCAUAGCCCAUGAAGAUAUGGAGUGCACCUGGAUGUGGCCGUCUCAAAGGAUGUGGUCGACCAGCAAGAGCUGCGGUUUUUCUGUGGCUUCUUCGAUCUGUAUGGAAACCUCUUCUUCGAUUUCCUGCACUCGUUUGUCCCAGAUGUCGUCAACCAGCUUCCAAGCUUCAUCGCUGAUAAUCUGGGUCUGCACACAGACGGCAACCCUCGCAGGCAUUAGCUGCAGCAGCAUGGAAGAGCUUGAAUUCGGCACAAAGCAAUCAAGAUGCCCAGCUGCUAACCUCCAUCGGCCGGGGAGCGCCAAACGUAAAGAAUCCCACAUUCCCUGGGGCAAAGGUGAGCCUUCCAGGUAGGGAAACCCCAUGAAUCCCCCAUCUUCCAGCAUAAACAAGCGCGCCAUACUCAUCAACAGGGUGCACAGGUGGCUGCAGCAAUGAGCAAGCAAGUUGAAGCUUAUCCUAUGCUUUUUAGACCCAUCUGCCUAGGGAAUUGAUGAAUUGGGUAUAGUCACAUCCAUUUGAUAAAUGACUGUUUGGCCAACUGCCACCAAAAUAAUUGGGGCCAAAUCAAUAAAACUAUCCAAAGGAGUUGAAUGGUCUGGAUUUUAUAAGUGCCUAGUAUAAAGCAGUCAAAUUUGCCCAACUAAGGACCAACAUGGUUUGGCAUUGGAGAACGGUAUGAUAAAAUAGGCUUCUGCGGAACCAAACAUAAUAUGACAAUGAGCAAUGCUGAUAAAGGGCAGUGGGCUACAUAUAAUCAGACAUAUUGUAUACAAGAAAUGAUGAUAAUCUUAUUACCUGGGGAAUUCGCGGGGCCUUCUUGUAGACUUCCCAAAUUUUCUCUGCCUUGAUCUCCCCUCUCUCGAGCAAAAUGUCUGAAAGUUGAGGAACAUACAUUAUAUUAUCUAUCGCCAUCAAAAGUGAGGUCACAUCAGAUACAGAAAAGCCAUCCUGGUUGCAUGCGAGAGGAUGAUAAUUCAAGAAAAUUUUGAACUAAAAUAAGAAAAAAAAAAUGAACAAAGCGGAAGCAGGAUUCUCUACCAGUAAUUGUCUCCACUGCUGAGCGAUACUCCCUCAGCACCGAUGCACAUUUUUCGACAGCGAAACGCAUGUAUUCUUCUCGAAGUGCCUCCAAUUUCGGUGCAAGCUGUAAAUUCACACAAGUUCUCACGAUCUGUACAAAGACACUUAUUCACAGAAUCAAAUGCGAGCACGAAUGAAGCACGAUGUAGUUAAAGGCUUAUCAUACAUUUGGUACUAGAUCACUUUGAGUUCUAUAAAACGUUUUUCCAAACGCUGUCAUUCCCGUCUGGAGGAUCAACAUUUCUGUGAGCCUUGAAGCUUCAGAUGUGGCCUUUGCAGAUAUCCAACACAGGUUGUCUAUGCCAAACAUCUCUUCCUCAAUCACUCUUGCUGUGAAUUUGGGUGAUUAGCAGAUGAAUCAUAAACAAAAAUAAUCUAACCGCAAAUAAUGAAACAGAAAUUUUGUGGAACCAAGCAGUCGAAACUAAUGGCACAAGUACUAAAUGCCAAUGAUUUGAUUGAUGUUUUGAAAAUAAGAAUACGAAGCCAAAAGAAAGGUUUUCCUGCUGCCAGAAGCUGUACGAACCUGAUAUUCUAAGUAUUAUGGUUUCUGCAUAUCCACCCAUUUGGUAGGAUCCUUGGGAAGAGUUUGGGCAGGCACAGCAUAUUAAAGCAUUUAAAAGGUUCUCUAGCAAUUUUCGAAAGUGAUCAGGCUCUCUAGCAAUUUUCUCUUGAGUUCCCGACGCAGCCAUUCAAUGUGAUACAUUUUUAGAUCGUGUAUAUAACAGAAAUAUAAAAGUGGUCAAUAAUGACUUCCAGGGAUUCUCAGGAGCCAUCUUCAAGUAUAAGAAUCAACGAUUUUUGUUCACAUCGCCAAGUUAUCGUCAAUUCAAUGUAUGACUCCAAAAAACUAAUCCAGCUAUUGGAUAAUGACACAAAGUUAUGUAUUCAGUGAAUUAGAGUGCCUGAGGGCGCCCCAUUCAAAGAAAAAAAAUUACAACUAUUAUUUGAUGUAGAGGGGAGUGAAAUCCAUAAUUAUCACUCCUUUGUCACAAGAAAAACUUGAGAAUAACGAUCAAAAUUUCACCCACUAAGUCUUCUACACCUGCCCGAGGUAUUCUACGAGGGAAGGCAAUAACUUGCUUCCAAUUAGAAUUCUAUGGUCCCCCUUGUCUAGUACCAAACAUAUGUAUUUGUAUUAUAAAUGAUACCAUGAAAUAACCCUUAUAGAUGUGAUCUAGAAGCGACAUGCAGUAAAUUACCAAAUAGAUAGGAGAAAGAAGCAAAACGAUUUAACUUACGUGCACAUGCUCGCACAAUAGAAGAAACGUAAUCUGAUUUCUUCAAAAAGGCUUUUCCAGAUGUUUCUGCAUAACGCAUAUUUGGCUUGCUACGAAUGGCAUGUAUAUCUGUCUGUUAAUAAUCACUAGUCUUUCAGUUUACUAAUCAAUUCUGAGGAAAGUGAAUCAUCAUAAAAAAAAAAAUCCAGAUGCGCAAGGUCAAUGUAAACUGAGUUGUUUUCUUUAUGCACCUCAACAAAAGGGCGAUGAGGAUCAGGAAAGUAACAUGCAAGAACUGCCACAGCUGCCUCUCUGUACGCCAUCCUCAGGUUCAGCUCAUGAGGGAUUUCGGUACUGUCCUCUUGACCAGUUUCAAAAGUACCUUUUUGCUGUAUAGUAGAAGAAUGGAGUUUCAGUUUAAACUAUAUUCUAGUCCAGAUUAGAGGAAGCAUUUCCUCGAUGCUUUAAAUGGCAUGAUGCAAAUUUCUACCCUCUUCAACGCUUCCAAUAAUUCCUCCCGUCCAAUGUAGUCUUGAUCCUUCCGAGCAGUCAAGAUUCCAGCCUCGUUCCUGCCAAUCGGUUAAAAAAUUAUCAAAAGCACAGCUACUGAAGAACGAAAUGAUUAAUUACAAAGUUAAGUCUCGGCAGCUACAGUAUGUUCUGAAGCUCAGCACCCGUAAAGUCUACUGUCAGCUCUGCAAUCUCCUGAAGAAGAAUAUCUUUUUCCUUUUCAGACUGGAAAAACUUGUUCCUUGCAUGAACCUAUCACAUAGUUGUGAUGUCAGGAGAGUAACACGCCAACAUAAAGAAAAAUUCUGUAAAUGACAGCUCAACUUAGAGAAUCAAGAUUGGAAGAACAGACCUGUAAUAUGGCCAGUCUGCCAUCUUUUGAUGGCAAGCCAACCCUGAUAAUUUUGUCAAAGCGCCCCUUUCUCAAAAGAGCAGGGUCCAGUAUGUCCAAUCUAUUAGUUGCACCAAUCACUAAUACCUGAAAAGCUGAUUUUAGCAGUGUGACUAUCAUAAGUCCUUGGUCGUAACUCGAAUAACUAACUUGCCAAAUUAUACCUGUGAUGUAAAUUCCUUGAAUCCAUCCAUCUCAGUCAAUAUCUGAAGCAGACCUUGCUCCCUUUCGGCACCACCCUUUGAUAAAUACAGUUGAAAAUCUUUGGUUAAUGGAGUGGAUUAUCAGUUAUUAUUCAAGAUAAAUAUUUUCAAUGAGAUGAAAAAAAUAGUAGUGGACCUCUAAAGAAAAAGAAGGAUUUGAACAUGAUGUUUCUUCUGUGAAUCACUAAAUAAUGGCAAGGAAACUAGGUGAUGCAAACCAUACAAAGAUAUACAGAGGGGAAAAUCUAUUCGACAACUCAAAUCAUAGAAUAAUUAUUAGUUAUACACAAUUACCAUGGCCACAGAAAAAAAAGAAACUACCAAAGUUAGGGAAACUGUUCAACUAGGAAACUGCUCUCAACUAGGAAACUGACCAGCAGAAACUAGCCCCUAAUUAAACGAUUUUCCCACACUGGGUUAUGUAAGUGGCACUUAUUCUGGCAUCUAUUUCUUUUCUCUUAUUCACAAUUGGCUUUUUCCUCCGAAAUUCAGUCGCCGGUAGAUUCACCAUUUAAAUUGCCUUCGCAGCAGUUUUCAUCCUCUCUACAUGCUGAACGAGAGCAAAGAUUUUAAUCACUCACAAAGCGAUUCUCAAAUAUGCUGCCCCCCCUGAAGUCAACGAUCCCUUUCUUGACUUACUGUAUUUUUCACCGUCUUGAUGUAGAUUUAUAUCGCCUGGUAUAAGGGAGAAUCCAAAGAAGAAGAACCUUCAUUAGGGCAUGGAACUUCAAUUACCUCACACUUUAUGAGAUAACUCGAAUAGACCCCAACUGCAUUUUGGCUGAUGCUGCAAGUACAUCAACUUAGAAACCAGCUCUGAAUUCAUCCAUGGUAUCACACCCUCGCAAUUGCCAAUGUUGCCCCUAUUACCUUCACAACUAUCACUACCACAUUACCACCAUGAGAGUGAUAAAGCUCCACGCACAUAUGUUAGAAGGAAGAAGGCCCAAAGCCCAAUAAGUCAAUAAUAAUUACUAUUAUUGACAGAAGGCACAAUUACAGCAAAAUUAUGGCAAGAGCAGUUAUGGCAGGAGACUAACUGCCUAAAUAAGAGAGGGAAAGGUGGAUAUAUAAAGAAGGGCGGAACAAGAAGAAGAGGGGGAGAAAUCGGAGUUGGAAUCUCGUGCAUCGACGAGAAGGGGGCUGGAGAGUUGUAUGUGACCUUCCAUCUAUUCUGGUUCUAGGGUUGUAUGCGACCCUCUAUUUGUUUUGAGUUCUUUUACUUUGUUUUAUCUUGAUAUUUCUGUUCUAGAGACUGUUCUACAUCUAUUACGAAAUAUUCGUAGUUCCUAUUGGUUCCUAUCAGAGAGCUACCACCAAACCUGCCACCCUUGUGGCCAAGCAGAAUCCUAGAUCAUCCUUCCCAUACUGCAUUCUCAUUCAACAAUGACGUCCAAUUCAUAUAAGUCAAAUCGGUUUCUCGAAGUAACAAUUCGUAAUACAUGUCAUGAGUGGUUAUUAAAACGUUCCUGAAAGGGAUAGAUAAUUCUGAAUUCAUACACGUUGAAGAGUCAUUGCGUCUUUAAACUUCACUACUGGACUGUGGUCAUUUCUCCGGGCCUUUAAAAUAGAAGACGGUGCGACUAAAAUAACUCCCACUCAUAACACCAAUUGGAAAUUAUGAAAUGACUGACAUUUCUUUUCAAAAAUAAUAUUAAUUGGCAACAAAAAUUGUGAAUAUAAAAAAAUGCACGGCAUGAAAUUAGAUAUAAUCCCAAGGAUUCACGAAUUUUAUAAUGUCCUUCACAAAAUCAGUAUAAUGAAAACUUAAUCUUAGACAACUCUAAUUCAUGACCAUGAAAAAUUAGUGUCAAUACGUCAUUGAUCACUUCAACCGAAAUUGAAAGUUCAAUAUCAAAGUAACAUGAUGAGAACCAAUAAUAUCAAAAGAAAAGCCUAACUGAUCAAAUCCAUACAUGGGCCUUCGUCCUGUACACUUUCUGGUUAUAGACUCGACGGGUAAAGAGAAUUACGCUAAACCAGAAUAGAUCUCACCCCACCAACAUCAGGACCACCACGCUUGCUGCCAAUUGCAUCAAUUUCAUCAAUAAAUAUUAUUGAUGGUGAAAAAGAUCUGGCACUUGAGAAAAGAUCCUUAACUCGUGCGGCUGCAACACCUACAAACAUCUGGAGAUUCAUGUGUAAGAUGUCAAAGUGAAAAUUAAUCCAAAUGAAGGAUUAACCUCCCAUUUUAUGUGAAGCAAAGCUAAAGCAAUCAAGGGUAUACAGAGUACGAGCAGAGGCAACAUUGUAGAUGAAGAAAUUUCAAAAAUAAAAUAUCGAAGGUUCAUAUAGUUCUUUAACCACUGAAGAACCUCGUUUCAACGUUAAUCAAUAUUGCACUAUGGAAAGAAUUACGAUAGCCUUCCCAGAUUUCAUGGACCAUUAAAAAAUAGAUCCUUUCUCGAUUGAUAUUCAACCAGAAAAUAGUAUAUUAGGGAAAAUGAAAAUAUUUAGGAUGGAUCAACUUAACUGUUGUUCAACAAAAUAAAACAUCCCACGUGUGAAUGUCACAAGAUCCAGGCAUGCCAUGCAUUAUUUAUUCAAAAUUUUAAAAACAAUAAAAAGGAAUGUUAAAAAGAAUAUCAGCCUCACCUCCACAAAAUCAGUUCCAUUUGCUGCAAAGAAAGGAAGCCCAGCCUCUCCAGCGAUAGCUUUAGCAAGUAGGGUUUUUCCUGUGCCAGGUGGCCCAUGAAGGAGGACUCCUUUAGGGCAGUAGAUGCCUUUAUCUUGAAAUUCCUCAUCAUUUUUCAGGAUCCGCACUAUCUCCUGCAGUUCUCUCUUUAUAUAUUCUUGGCCUGCAAAAUCAUCAAAUGUGACACCCGUAGUUUCUUCUGCUGAUAUGAAUUUUGCCCUGUUACCACAAAACAUCAAGGGAUUCGGCCUUCAUAUAAGCAUCAUAAUUUAACUAAAUACCAAAAUAAAAACUGGUUAGGAAGAAGAAGAAUAACAUAAAUUCCUAGAAUAAGUCAGCGGAAAUUUUGUAGAUGUCGAAUAGAACACGUCCAGGAUAAAUGAAGGAUGUGAACAAAUUAAAUGGAUCGAGACAUUGUCAUAUGAGGCAGAUCUGUCAUUUUUAAACUACCUUGAGUCAGAUAUAGAAAGGAGGUUGAGUUACAGUGCACAGUAACCAAUCUCAUUCCUCUCCGAAACAGUUUGAAUCCUACUUUCAAGGCUUGAAAAUCAACCAAGACAGGAAACAAGUCCAUGGAUCUAUUAUCAUACAGUAUACCUACACCAAUUUAAAGAGCUAAACAUUGCAUUAAGCGAAAAUGUUUAACUGUGGACCGUCUAGAGAGUUGAAAAGUAAAUCUAAGACAAACUUCCCUGAAUCAAUUUUCAAGGGUACCAGAACAGAACCCAAUUUCAAUUCAAGGGUAACCUAGAAGAAUUGAGUCACAGACUACAAAGUUUGGUCAUAUAUAACACAACAAGUAUUAUGGAGAUUCCAUAAAAAUAAAGGAAAAUAAAUUGCUUUGAGUGGUCAGCAAGCUCAGUUAUGACAAGAUGAAGUUGAUCAGCCAACCCAAUCUAAACUGGCUGAUUGGAUAAGCAGAAUCAACCUAUUUAGGAAGCUUUCUCCAAAUUCUUCUUCGGAUAGUGUCUACUCUCAUGUGUAUUAAUCAAUUCCGAUUGCAAUAGUCAAUUACACCUUGCAUGAUGAGCCGUUUCAGGAAACAUAAAUAGAAAAAUGGAUCAUAUAGCAUUGCGAUGACUGAACGAUUUGAUGGAAAACCUACCAGAAAAAAGGAUCAGCUAUGAUUGAAUAAUUAAUGUGGAAGUGAAGAAUGACAAAGUCUCUAAACCACAACUCACCGGGACUUCCCCAAAGAUCCAAGUGCACGGCGUUUCAUAGGCAUCCUAGCUUUUUUCUCCGGAACACCCAGAUCGCAGGGAAUUAACUUAGCAUAGAUAGGUCUCGCCCAGUUAUCAAUCCAGAGGUACAAAGCAAUUGAUAGAGCAAAACGCAUAGACCAGAUAACAGCAGUCGCAAUUGUGGAGUAUACUUCAGCAGGGACUGAAUUAACAUUAAUAACAUCAACGUGUAUGAGCUGUUGAUGUAGCUUCUGCCAAACAUCAUUCCAGCAAUCAAUUGGCAUUCGAUCAACAAUAUGGCGGCGGAAAACGAUUUCCCUGCCAGAACCCACGGACCCUUCUUUCGUUUCGUCUUUAUAAUACGGUAAUAUCACUGCAUAAAAAGGAAGGCGUGUUAAUAACACCAUAAUGCCCUCAGGACAAACAACUAAAAAUUAAUUGGCUAUGACUGGAGAAGUCUCAUCCUUAUAACCAUAGCUUCAUUUUUGUACUGACGAACAUGGGUAUAUUCUUAUCUGAUUUCCACUGCCAAUGGGCAGAAUCAUAUCAUCAUUUUCUGAUAACAUAAUACAUAGGGUAAAGAGAAGAUAAAGUUCUUCCAGGUUCAACCAAUCCACUCUUCCUGGAUAAUGCUCUUUUCACCUAUUCCCCAUAUGUUAGCCUUCCAUGAAGCGAAAUGAAGCCUUCAGAUGAAGAGGGAAGAACAAAAACUGUGUGCUUCAUCUUCCAAGGGAGAAAAAUGUUGCACAGCAUCUACAGUUUAAGAUAGGUAUUUAUUCUUUCCCUUUUUUUUGCAUUUUCAUCUUAAGUUUCUCCGGUUCCAGAGUAUGCUUAUUUUCCCCCAAAAGUAAUUUCCUCCUGUGUGAGGGAGAAGAUGAUGGAUUAUCUUCACCUCCUCACCUUCUCGCAUUCUGGUUGUAAAGACCAGUAAUAAGGAGAUUCAAAAUUAGACAAAACGUGGAUUGGGAGGCUAGAUAGUUUAGUCUCUCGUAGCAUUAGCUUUCUUCCCCACAACGAAGUUUACAUUUCCACCCAACAAGUUUACCUCUAAGAUUUCUGUAUUAGGUUUAUAUGAUCAGAUAAUUUCUCAAUAGAAUUUUCAUACUAAUAUCAUAGUUUCCAUCCUUGAUCCCUUCAACAUUAUAUUCAAAUUCUUUUGAUAGAAAUAGUUCUACAACAGAAAGAAGCGUUAUUUCAUAUUUAAAUUAAUGCAAAAUGAUAUUAAUUAGUUGAACAAGAAAAAUUAUUCAUUAAAAUUCAGGAAUUAAACAAAGAUUUUAAUCUCAUUAAACUAGAUUACGAUUUUUCGGUGACUUUUAAGGAGAUAAUGAAUUGCAAGACAUGGAAUAUGAGAAUGAGAUCAACACGCUCUUUUGCAGACACUCGAUAAUAUAAACUUAAUCGUUAUUAGAAAUCUUUAUCUUUGCAAUUCGCAGAGACACUGAACGAUGCAAAGGGAUUUGACUGACACUCCAAUAAAAACCUCAGAGACACUGAACGAUGCAAAGGGAUUUGACUGACACUCCAAUAAAAACCUAACAUUAUCAGGUGACUCAAUUGUAGAGGAUAUAUAUCAGGUAGGGCAGUUGAUCUAAAAACUUAUUCAAAUGAUUGAACUCUGUAUUAGGGCCACACACCCAAGUCAAUGGUAUAAGACUUAUGUGACGUGGAUGACUAUUAUGAAAAAUUCCAUAGAUGAUUCAAUUACUGAAGACGCCAAUGCAGCAGUAAAGUGGAUAGGAUAAGUCAUCAAUGAAUGUAUGUUCAAGGCAGUUUUUCUACUAUUCCGGCAGAAUCCGCCAGAAAAGAGAACUAAAAGGAGUUUUUCUUCUAUUCCAGCAAGUUUGCACGUUAAAUUCAUAAGCCUCUGUAUUAAGCUGUAUUAGAUGUUAACUAUAUGAUUAAAAUCGAACUUUAGCUGUAUUUUUUCAAAGCCGCUGUUCUGAAUCCGUCUUAGUUGACACAUUUCAGUUGAACAACAACUAUAGUCCAACCUACGAUGGGGCUAACAUCAUCAAAUCAUAAGUGGGAAACGAUUUGUCCGUAUCAACAGGAAAUACCUUUCAGUUUGUCCACCAUAAAUCCAGUAGGAUCAGUUUCAGAAGUACUGCCCACAUUCACCUAGAAGUAUUUAAGAAGAAAAAACUGACAAAGACAAUAUAAGGAGAGGAAAAGGGGAUUCGGUCUCACAAAAUGAGAUGUGGACCCACAUCUCAUUUUCAAUGCACUCCCUCACGUGCAGGCAUUAGCGUUAAUUAGUGCAUGGCAACUACCCUAGAUUCCUUUCCUGGGAGCAACAGUGACAUAAUUUUGAACAUACGAUAGGCAUCCUCAGCAAUUGAUUGAUUGUAAUGUCCUGUGGUUGUGCAUAUGAAAAAGGUCCAGGAUUUUCAUUAAACAUUAGAAAUUGGUAUAAUAUUCCAAGAUGAGAAACUUAAAUAGGAGUACAAAGGACUUACCAGAGACAGUUUGACCAAAAUUUGAGUACUCCAUGAACUGAACAUUAUUCGAAUUAAGGAGCCUCCAAAAUUCACUAUAGUCGAUCUUAUGUGAAUUUUCUGGAUCCCACUCUGUUCCUUUCAAUUUCCCUUGAAGUUUCAGCAAUGAUCGACUCCAAGAUGAAGCCAAAACAAGCUGUCUCUCUAACUGCAUAUCAGCCUUUCUUUCAAAGUCUUCUAACUUGUUGAUGCGUUCUCUCUCUGCAUUUUUCAGCUUCUGCAUACAUGUUUAAAUCCGUUCAUACUUGAUCCACGACUAAACACCAAAAAAAAUUUUAAAUAAUAGCAACCGGUAAAACAUCAGAAAAACUUUGCACGCUCUUUUUUUCGCAUUAACAUGCGGUGAUACGGUGCAU
This 23037-nucleotide long non-coding RNA is filed under the name Spirodela polyrhiza (greater duckweed). RNAcentral's name for it is "long non-coding RNA (SPOL_LNC002144)". The record is from RNAcentral. Lineage: Eukaryota; Viridiplantae; Streptophyta; Magnoliopsida; Alismatales; Araceae.